AUUGAACGCUGGCGGCAGGCCUAACACAUGCAAGUCGAACGCGAAAGCUCCUUCGGGAGUGAGUAGAGUGGCGAACGGGUGAGUAACGCGUAGGAAUCUACCCAGGAGUGGGGGACAACCCGGAGAAAUUCGGGCUAAUACCGCAUACGCCCUACGGGGCAAAGUGGGGGACCUCUUCGGAGGCCUCACGCUUCUGGAUGAGCCUGCGUCGGAUUAGCUUGUUGGUGAGGUAAAGGCUCACCAAGGCGACGAUCCGUAGCUGGUCUGAGAGGAUGACCAGUCACACUGGGACUGAGACACGGCCCAGACUCCUACGGGAGGCAGCAGUGGGGAAUAUUGGACAAUGGGGGAAACCCUGAUCCAGCCAUGCCGCGUGUGUGAAGAAGGCCCUAGGGUUGUAAAGCACUUUCAGUGGGGAAGAAAAGCUUGAGGUGAACAACCUCGGGUAUUGACGGUACCCACAGAAGAAGCACCGGCUAAUUCCGUG
This 487-nucleotide ribosomal RNA is filed under the name uncultured bacterium. RNAcentral describes it as "bacterial SSU rRNA". It matches the Rfam family "Bacterial small subunit ribosomal RNA", at positions 29 to 507 of the family's 1533-position model. The record is from RNAcentral.